GAGUUUGAUCGUGGCUCAGAUUGAACGCUGGCGGCAGGCCUAACACAUGCAAGUCGAGCGGAUGACGGGAGCUUGCUCCUUGAUUCAGCGGCGGACGGGUGAGUAAUGCCUGGGAAUCUGCCUGGUAGUGGGGGACAACGUUUCGAAAGGAACGCUAAUACCGCAUACGUCCUACGGGAGAAAGCGGGGGACCUUCGGGCCUUGCGCUAUCAGAUGAGCCUAGGUCGGAUUAGCUAGUUGGUGGGGUAAUGGCUCACCAAGGCGACGAUCCGUAACUGGUCUGAGAGGAUGAUCAGUCACACUGGAACUGAGACACGGUCCAGACUCCUACGGGAGGCAGCAGUGGGGAAUAUUGGACAAUGGGCGAAAGCCUGAUCCAGCCAUGCCGCGUGUGUGAAGAAGGUCUUCGGAUUGUAAAGCACCUUAAGUUGGAGGAAGGGCAGUAAGUUAAUACCUUGCUG
RNAcentral lists this ribosomal RNA (461 nucleotides) under bacterium enrichment culture clone ALO1_GLFRUDD03FWSRU. Its description in RNAcentral is "bacterial SSU rRNA". It matches the Rfam family "Bacterial small subunit ribosomal RNA", at positions 9 to 474 of the family's 1533-position model. The record is from RNAcentral.